This is a small nuclear RNA of Cercocebus atys (sooty mangabey), 106 nucleotides long. The record is from Ensembl. NCBI's taxonomy places the organism in Eukaryota, Metazoa, Chordata, Mammalia, Primates, Cercopithecidae.
GUGCUCACUUCGGCUGUACAUAUACUGAAAUUGGAAUGAUACAGAGAAGAUUAAAAUGUCCCCUGCGCAAGGAUGACAAGCAAAUUUGUGAGCGUUCCAUAUUUUU